UCCGGUGAUUAUAGCAAAGAGGUCACACCUGUUCCCAUCCCGAACACAGAAGUUAAGCUCUUUAGCGCUGAUGAUACUUGGAGGGCAGCCUCCUGGGAAAGUAGGUCGUCGCCGGUU
Molecule: ribosomal RNA, 117 nt
Filed under: Clostridiales bacterium
Lineage: Bacteria; Bacillati; Bacillota; Clostridia; Eubacteriales
Source: RNAcentral